GCGACCCCAGGUCAGGCGGGGCCACCCGCUGAGUU
Molecule: ribosomal RNA, 35 nt
Filed under: Platanus orientalis
Lineage: Eukaryota; Viridiplantae; Streptophyta; Magnoliopsida; Proteales; Platanaceae
Also listed under: 10 other names
Description: partial 25S ribosomal RNA
Source: RNAcentral